Zingiber officinale is the source of this 1032-nucleotide long non-coding RNA. RefSeq lists it as uncharacterized. NCBI's taxonomy places the organism in Eukaryota, Viridiplantae, Streptophyta, Magnoliopsida, Zingiberales, Zingiberaceae. The record is from RefSeq and is a predicted model, not a curated record. The transcript is spliced from 3 exons.
GACAUUAUAGGGUGACUUUUUAAUUUGGAUAUUUUUAUUCUCUUAAGUUUUUUUUCCUUGUUGAAUAACUUCAUUUUAAUAAUUUUUCCCAAGUCAUGCUUUGCUUUACAACCUAACCAUCCACAAGCAUUGUCAAGCCUUGGCAGCAUAUACAUGGAUUGCAACAUGAUGAGUGUUCCUGCAUCAUUCUAUAAGGCAACUUUAGCAGUUACAACAGGGAUAUCUGCGCCCUUCAACAACUUGGCUAUUAUAUACAAGCAACAGGUAGAGUACUAUAUCUGCCUUUUUCAUUGCAAUCAUGUACUAACAACAUGUUCAUUGCCAUCACGCCCUCGCAAUCAUGCUUGGUUUUUUGUCAAACAGUUGGCUACAGCACUUUAAUGUUUUAACAGGAUACAGUUAGAAUGCCAUCUAGAUUGCUAUGAGAUUGAAGUGAGAAGGAUCAUCAGUGAUGGAUGGUCGUUGACCAUUUAGUGCAACUACCUCUCAUUUUAGUGGGGAAGCAUCUACAUUGGCUUUGACAAAUACAGUUUAAAAUAUUUUAUUGGAUCAAACUUUUCUUAGGGAUAUGAAUUCCAGUUUACUAUGUGGAAUUUUUGUAAAAAUCACUUCUCGCUUUUAUUUCUUCCUUAUUCAAUCAUGAGAUUUUUGUCUGUUUAUAUUGGCAAGAUACUUCGGCUAAUUUUGUUAAUUUGGUAGAUACUAGGCAGCACCUACACAGCUACACUGCUAGUUCAACCUUUGCUUCCUGUGUGGAUAUUCAAUCAUGAGAAUUGCUGCUUUCUUCUAGUUCUUCACAGACUGUUGUUGAUGGUCUUGUCAAUAGAGGGAACACAUUUAAGGAGAUUGGUAGAGUUGCUUCAAGGAGAUUGGUAGAGUUACUGAAGCAAUUCAGGAUUAUAUAUGUGCUGUGAAUAUCAGACCAACUAUGCCUGAAGCCCAUGCAGAUUUGGCUUCAACUUACAAAGAUAGAUUACAAUUCUCAAGUACUCCAGAGUUGAAAUUGAUGAAGUGCGGUUCGAGUGGAUUGAA